UGGGCAACCUGCCCCAGACUCAGGGAUAACCCCCGGGAAACCGGGGCUAAUACCCGAUACUCCGAUCGAACCACAUGGCUUGAUCGGGAAAGCUCCGACGGUCUGGGAUGGGCCCGCGGCCUAUCAGCUUGUUGGUGGGGUAACGGCCUACCAAGGCGACGACGGGUAGCUGGUCUGAGAGGACGACCAGCCACACUGGGACUGAGACACGGUCCAGACUCCUACGGGA
Molecule: ribosomal RNA, 229 nt
Filed under: uncultured bacterium
Lineage: Bacteria
Description: partial 16S ribosomal RNA
Rfam family: Bacterial small subunit ribosomal RNA
Source: RNAcentral